UGAGGAAUAUUGGUCAAUGGGCGGAAGCCUGAACCAGCCAUGCCGCGUGCAGGAAGGAGGCCCUACGGGUUGUAAACUGCUUUUACCCGGGAAGAAACCGCCCCCUGUGGGGGGCGUUGCCGGUACCGGGGGAAAAAGGAUCGGCUAACUCCGUGCCAGCAGCCGCGGUAAUACGGAGGAUCCGGGCGUUAUCCGGAAUUACUGGGUUUAAAGGGUGCGUAGGCGGGGCUUUAAGCCGGCGGUGAAAUGCAGCGGCUCAACCGCUGGAAUGCCGUUGGGACUGGGGGUCUUGGAUACGGGCGGGGCGGGUGGAACUCGUGGUGUAGCGGUGAAAUGCGUAGAUAUUAGGAGGAACACCAGUGGCGAAGGCGGCUUUCUGGACUGUAACUGACACUGAGGCACGAAAGCGUGGGGAGCAAACA
This 422-nucleotide ribosomal RNA is filed under the name uncultured prokaryote. RNAcentral describes it as "bacterial SSU rRNA". It matches the Rfam family "Bacterial small subunit ribosomal RNA", at positions 355 to 774 of the family's 1533-position model. The record is from RNAcentral.